This 77-nucleotide transfer RNA is filed under the name Oscillospiraceae bacterium. RNAcentral describes it as "tRNA-Pro". It matches the Rfam family "tRNA". Rfam says of the family: Transfer RNA (tRNA) molecules are approximately 80 nucleotides in length. Their secondary structure includes four short double-helical elements and three loops (D, anti-codon, and T loops). Lineage: Bacteria; Bacillati; Bacillota; Clostridia; Eubacteriales; Oscillospiraceae. The record is from RNAcentral.
CCGGGUGUAGCGCAGUUUGGUAGCGCACUUGCUUUGGGAGCAAGGGGCCGCAGGUUCGAAUCCUGUCACCCGGACCA